This 598-nucleotide ribosomal RNA is filed under the name Bipolaris oryzae. RNAcentral's name for it is "eukaryotic LSU rRNA". The stretch from base 231 to 384 matches the Rfam family "5.8S ribosomal RNA". Lineage: Eukaryota; Fungi; Ascomycota; Dothideomycetes; Pleosporales; Pleosporaceae. The record is from RNAcentral.
CAUAUUCUGUUGUGUAAUGAUUUCUUCCGUAAAGGGGGCCUGCGGAGGGAUCAUUACACAACAAAAUAUGAAGGCCUGGCUUUCGCGGCCGGCUGAAGUAUUUUUUUCACCCAUGUCUUUUGCGCACUUGUUGUUUCCUGGGCGGGUUCGCCCGCCACCAGGACCAAACCAUAAACCUUUUUUUCUUAUGCAGUUUCCAUCAGCGUCAGUAAAAACAAUGUAAUUAUUACAACUUUCAACAACGGAUCUCUUGGUUCUGGCAUCGAUGAAGAACGCAGCGAAAUGCGAUACGUAGUGUGAAUUGCAGAAUUCAGUGAAUCAUCGAAUCUUUGAACGCACAUUGCGCCCUUUGGUAUUCCAAAGGGCAUGCCUGUUCGAGCGUCAUUUGUACCUUCAAGCUUUGCUUGGUGUUGGGCGUUUUUUUGUCUCCCUCUUUCUGGGAGACUCGCCUUAAAACGAUUGGCAGCCGGCCUACUGGUUUCGGAGCGCAGCACAUUUUUUGCGCUUUGUAUCAGGAGAAAAGGACGGUACUCCAUCAAGACUCUACAUUUUUCACUUUUGACCUCGGAUCAGGUAGGGAUACCCGCUGAACUUAAGC